GCGACCCCAGGUCAGGCGGGGCUACCCGCUGAAUUUAAGCAUAUCACUAAGCGGAGGAAAAGAAACUUACAAGGAUUCCCCUAGUA
Molecule: ribosomal RNA, 86 nt
Filed under: Silene paucifolia
Lineage: Eukaryota; Viridiplantae; Streptophyta; Magnoliopsida; Caryophyllales; Caryophyllaceae
Description: partial 28S ribosomal RNA
Rfam family: Eukaryotic large subunit ribosomal RNA
Source: RNAcentral